AUUGAACGCUGGCGGCAGGCCUAACACAUGCAAGUCGAGCGGAUGAAGGGAGCUUGCUCCUGGAUUCAGCGGCGGACGGGUGAGUAAUGCCUAGGAAUCUGCCUGGUCGUGGGGGAUAACGUCCGGAAACGGGCGCUAAUACCGCAUACGUUCUGAGGGAUAAAGUGGGGGAUCUUCGGACCUCACGCUAUCAGAUGAGCCUAGGUCGGAUUAGCUAGUUGGUGGGGUAAAGGCCUACCAAGGCGACGAUCCGUAACUGGUCUGAGAGGAUGAUCAGUCACACUGGAACUGAGACACGGUCCAGACUCCUACGGGAGGCAGCAGUGGGGAAUAUUGGACAAUGGGCGAAAGCCUGAUCCAGCCAUGCCGCGUGUGUGAAGAAGGUCUUCGGAUUGUAAAGCACGUUAAGUUGGGAGGAAGGGCAGUAAGUUAAUACCUUGAUGUUUUGACGUUACUAACAGAAUAAGCACCGGCUAACUUCGUG
RNAcentral lists this ribosomal RNA (484 nucleotides) under uncultured bacterium. RNAcentral's name for it is "partial 16S ribosomal RNA". It matches the Rfam family "Bacterial small subunit ribosomal RNA", at positions 30 to 507 of the family's 1533-position model. The record is from RNAcentral.